GACCAUAGGUUAUGGCUUGGAUUAUAACACACUAAUGUUGUCUUUGAGGCCAUCCACUGACGUCCUCACCCAUGGCAUAAGCAAGUUUUUCUGAAGAUUCAAGUGCAAGUGGUUUUUAAAGUGACAUAGCAAAGUGAAAUGGAGGAUUGAAGCAGUUUUCUGGAGAGCCCAGGCUACCACCUGAUUACCUCGUCUGGUUGUUUUCCUGAGUGCAAAGAAUUUUGCCACAGCUAAAGUCAGUAUUUCUCAGCUCCUUAUUGCAGCUAGAUGUGGCCAUGUGAUUAUGUUUUGGCAAUGGGAUAUGAACAAAAAUGAUAUGUGGCACAUUCAAGUCCUGACCUAAAAGGAUUGUUAUGUGAAUAUCCAUUGUGUCUUCUCCCUUUCUGCUGACUGAGAUGUAGUUGUGAUGGCAGGAGCUGGAGGAGCCACUUUGGACUCAGAGAUGGAAAACCUGUGUUGAGGAGUCCUGGACUUUUAUGUAAAAACUUCUUAUUUAAACUCUUGUAUGUCUGAGUCCUUUGAUCAUAGCAUCUUAGGCUGUAUUCCCGUAAGUACAAUAUCUGCUUCAUAAUAAACUGCCUCCAAAUGCAGUGACUUAUAAAACAAUCAUUUAUUAGCUCCUGAUACUGUUGUUUGUCAAUAUGGGCUAUGCUCAUCUGGGCAGUUCUCUGGGUUCACUCACAUGGCUGCAGGUAGCUGGUGGGUGUGCUAAGCGAUAAUUGGUUCUGGAUGGCCUCAUUCAUGUGACUGACAGGGGCAGUGGGAGCAACUGAGUUCCAUGUCUCUAGCAUUUAACAAGUUCAGGCUUUUUCUCAUGGUGGCUGGAUUCCAAAUGUAACCAGAGAUAGCAAACCCCAGUGAGCAAUCACUUUUUACACCCCUGCUUGUAUUAUACUUGGUAAUGCCA
RNAcentral lists this long non-coding RNA (907 nucleotides) under Macaca mulatta (Rhesus monkey). RNAcentral's name for it is "lncRNA (ENSMMUG00000061960.1)". The record is from RNAcentral. Lineage: Eukaryota; Metazoa; Chordata; Mammalia; Primates; Cercopithecidae.